Molecule: long non-coding RNA, 578 nt
Organism: Lates calcarifer (barramundi perch)
Lineage: Eukaryota; Metazoa; Chordata; Actinopteri; Centropomidae
Exons: 3
Source: RefSeq, a predicted model, not a curated record
UAUUUUCAGUUUAUUCCAGUGUGUUUCCAGUGUUUUGUAUCUACCUUCAGUCUGUCCAGAGUGUCACUCAGGGACUGUAGUCGAGCUGUUUGUUCCAGGAGCUGAGCACCAGGUGUCACUGCAGGACAGAAAAACACACUCAUACCUGGGGAUUUCCCAGUGAUGUCGACCACCUUGACGUUCGCGCUCAUCUGCAGCAAAGUCUCCAGGAGCUGGUCGGUCUUGCGGUAGAGGGCGCUAGAGAGCACUUCAGGACGACCUCCGUCUCUGGAGGGAAGUUUGGUCACAUGGAGAGGAGGCAGAGAGGCGAGCUGGACGCGCAUCGUCUCAGCCUGAGAGGUGUUUGAUGCAGAGUCUCUGAGCUUCGAUCUGCUGAGUCAGCAGAGGAGAGUCGAUCACCUGGACUCCUGAGCCUGAACCGACGCCUGACAUCAUGUUCGCUGUGGAUGACAUCAUGUACACAUCAUCAACACCCGACCAGAACGCAAACCAUCAUCUAACAUGUAAUAAACUGUCCAGCUGCAGUGACCUGCCUCUGUAUUCUGUUUAAAUAAAAAACGACGACACAUUAACAUCUG